AUGAAAGUUAUCCAUCCCACGCAAGCCGCCCAACGAAAGGAGUAAACGGCGCUGCGCCCAAUCUCCUAGCCAUCGCCGCGCCAACGCCUGCUCUCCCGGCCGUCGCCGCGCCCACGCCCGAUCUCCCGGACGGCCCCGGUACCGCUGCCUGUGCCUGACUUAGAGCCGACCGCCUCCGACCGGUCGGCGCCCUCCUCCGGCGCCCCGACGCAGACCGCCGCCUCCGCUCCCGGCCGGCGCCCACCACGCCCCAACAGGCCGCCGCCGCCGCUACCAGGGCAGGAGGAUCACCAUGACCAUAUAUAUGUAAUAUGUCCAUAUUCUCUUGUACACAUCAGACAUCAUGAUCCAAAGUGAGGAUUUGAAUGCCUGCUAAGAUCUUAGGUUCCCUAAAAGCUUAAGGAGAAAUGGAACUCCACCAAGCAGCAACGAUACCCACUGAUGUUCUAUAGCGUCAGUGGCAGAAUCACCUAUCAACGAUGGUUCAUAGAGGUCAUGGCGUUGUUGACUGUUUCUUCUGCUGAUUUUAUCUCAAACUUUUGUUCUAACAAUUUAUACCUUCGAGGUUGGUACUGAAUAUUCACUCUAGAUGAAUUACUUCCUGAUCAUUAGGUACUUUGAAUGCACAUUUGGUAUUAAAUUUAUAUUUAAAGUGGGAUUUGAUUAGGAUAGAUACUUGUAUGAGCUAGGCUCUCAUUUGGUGCAAUUGAAUGAAGCAUAUGGCUUGCCUAUUGGCAUUUCUUCACAUGAAUAGGAUUUUCAAUGUAUUUUCGAU
Long non-coding RNA from Oryza brachyantha (malo sina), 775 nucleotides. RefSeq lists it as uncharacterized. The record is from RefSeq and is a predicted model, not a curated record. NCBI's taxonomy places the organism in Eukaryota, Viridiplantae, Streptophyta, Magnoliopsida, Poales, Poaceae. The transcript has 3 exons.